This 433-nucleotide ribosomal RNA is filed under the name uncultured bacterium. RNAcentral describes it as "partial 16S ribosomal RNA". It matches the Rfam family "Bacterial small subunit ribosomal RNA", at positions 29 to 507 of the family's 1533-position model. The record is from RNAcentral.
AACGAACGCUGGCGGCAUGCCUAACACAUGCAAGUCGAACGAGACCUUCGGGUCUAGUUUCUCACGGGUGCGUAACGCGUGGUAACCUGCCCUUAUGAUCCGAAUAACUCCCCGAAAGGGCUUCUAAUAACGGCUAAUGUCUUCGGACUAAAUAUUUAUCGCCUUUGGAUGGGCCCGCUGUGGAUUAGCUCGUUGUUGGGGUAAAAGCCUACCAAGUCGACGCGCCAGAGCUGGUCUUAGAGGAUGAUCAGCCACACUGGGACUGAGACACGGCCCAGACGCCUACGGUAGGCAGAAGGGGGGAAUAUUGGACAAGGGGCGAAAGGAUGAUCAAGCCAUGCUGCGGGUGUGAUGAAGGCCUGAGGGUCGUAAAGCUCUUUUACCCGGGAUGAUAAUGACAGUACCGGGAGAAUAAGCUCCGGCUAACUACGUG